This 495-nucleotide ribosomal RNA is filed under the name uncultured bacterium. Its description in RNAcentral is "partial 16S ribosomal RNA". It matches the Rfam family "Bacterial small subunit ribosomal RNA", at positions 29 to 507 of the family's 1533-position model. The record is from RNAcentral.
AUGAACGCUGGCGGCGUGCCUCAUACAUGCAAGUCGCGCGAACAGACGAGGAGCUUGCUCCUCUGACGUUAGCGGCGGACGGGUGAGUACACGUGGAUAACCUACCUAUAAGACUGGGAUAACUUCGGGAAACCGGAGCUAAUACCGGAUAAUAUAUUGAACCGCAUGGUUCAAUAGUGAAAGACGGUUUUGCUGUCACUUAUAGAUGGAUCCGCGCCGCAUUAGCUAGUUGGUAAGGUAACGGCUUACCAAGGCAACGAUGCGUAGCCGACCUGAGAGGGUGAUCGGCCACACUGGAACUGAGACACGGUCCAGACUCCUACGGGAGGCAGCAGUAGGGAAUCUUCCGCAAUGGGCGAAAGCCUGACGGAGCAACGCCGCGUGAGUGAUGAAGGUCUUCGGAUCGUAAAACUCUGUUAUUAGGGAAGAACAAAUGUGUAAGUAACUAUGCACGUCUUGACGGUACCUAAUCAGAAAGCCACGGCUAACUACGUG